This 497-nucleotide ribosomal RNA is filed under the name uncultured bacterium. RNAcentral describes it as "partial 16S ribosomal RNA". It matches the Rfam family "Bacterial small subunit ribosomal RNA", at positions 28 to 507 of the family's 1533-position model. The record is from RNAcentral.
GAUGAACGCUGGCGGCGUGCCUAAUACAUGCAAGCCGAGCGAACGGACGAGAAGCUUGCUUCUCUGAUGUUAGCGACGGACGGGUGAGUCACACGUGGAUAACCUACCUAUAAGACUGGGAUAACUUCGGGAAACCGGAGCUAAUACCGGAUAAUAUUUUGAACCGCAUGGUUCAAAAGUGAAAGACGGUCUUGCUGUCCCUUAUAGAUGGAUCCGCGCUGCAUUAGCUAGUUGGUAAGGUAACGGCUUACCAAGGCGACGAUGCAUAGCCGACCUGAGAGGGUGAUCGGCCACACUGGAACUGAGACACGGUCCAGACUCCUACGGGAGGCAGCAGUAGGGAAUCUUCGGCAAUGGGCGAAAGCCUGACGGAGCAACGCCGCGUGAGUGAUGAAGGUCUUCGGAUCGUAAAGCUCUGUUAGUAGGGAAGAACAGAUGUGUAAGUAACUGUGCACAUCUUGACGGUACCUAAUCAGAAAGCCACGGCUAACUACGUG